UUCCAGGGCAGCAAGAAAGAAGGAGGUGCUGCCGCCGCCGCCGCAGGUCCUUGGAGGAAUUCCCUUCGGCCUGCAGGAAUCCCCUUCCUCGGGCUCCUCUCCCCAGCAGGACAGCAACCUGGGCUUCCCCUCGACGUGCACAAGCAAGGCGAACUCCCCGCUUGUCCGCUCUCCCGAGCUCGCCGCUCCCACCCCCUUGAACCGGAACCGUUUUUGCGGCUGCAACGUUACUUACUGCCGCCGCCGCCUCCUCCUCCUCCUCCUCUCGGCUGGUUAGGUGGAGGGGGAGGAAGAUCAAGAGGGAGAGCCCCAGGGGGGGAGGGCGGCAGCCAUGGGGCUGCGGUUGCAGCAGCAGCAGCAACCGGCUAUGCAGCGCCGCAUGCCAGGGCAGGAUGAUUGAACGGCGCGGGCUUGCAUGAGUCUGGACGGAGGGCGAGCGGUCGGGGAGCCUGGCGGGCGCCGGCAUCUUGUCCCCCAGCGGUGCUUGUCGUUUUCCUGGCCGCCGCUGAUGGCUUUUCGUCGCCGCGGGUGACUGCCGCCUCCCCGUCUCCUUUCCCCCCGGAUUCCCCCCUGCUUGGCUACAGCCUCUUGGCUGGCCGGCCCCGGCGGCGGCGGCGGCGGCGAUGGGGAACACGACCUCCUGCUGCGUGUCGUCCAGCCCCAAGCUGCGGAGGAAUGCCCAUUCCCGGCUGGAGUCCUACCGCCCCGACACGGAGCUGAGCCGAGAGGACACGGGUUGCAACCUGCAGCACAUCAGCGACAGGGAGAACAUUGACGAUUUGAAUAUGGAGUUCAACCCUUCGGAUCAUCCUCAAGCCAGCACGUUAUUCCUCAGCAAAUCUCAAACAGAUGUGAGAGAAAAACGCAAGAGUGUCUACAUAAAUCACCAUCCUCCUGGUCAACUGAGAAGGAAAUACAGUUCCUCCUCCACUAUUUUCCUGGAUGACAGCACAGUCAGUCAGCCCAAUCUGAAAUAUACAAUUAAAUGUGUAGCUCUUGCAAUAUAUUAUCACAUCAAAAACAGGGACACAGACGGAAGGAUGCUCCUAGAUAUUUUUGAUGAAAACCUCCACCCCCUUUCGAAAUCCGAAGUGCCGCCAGAUUAUGACAAACACGACCCGGAGCAGAAGCAGAUUUACCGCUUUGUGCGGACGUUGUUUAGUGCUGCGCAACUGACUGCCGAAUGUGCCAUUGUCACCCUGGUAUAUCUUGAAAGGCUUUUAACCUAUGCGGAGAUAGAUAUUUGUCCAGCAAACUGGAAGAGAAUUGUGCUGGGUGCUAUUCUGCUGGCAUCGAAAGUUUGGGAUGAUCAGGCUGUAUGGAAUGUGGACUACUGUCAGAUCUUGAAAGAUAUCACAGUUGAGGACAUGAAUGAGUUGGAGCGCCAGUUUCUGGAAUUACUGCAGUUCAACAUCAAUGUUCCCUCCAGUGUUUAUGCCAAGUAUUAUUUUGAUCUGCGGUCCCUGGCAGAAGCAAACAACCUCAGCUUUCCUCGGGAACCCCUCAGCAGGGAAAAGGCAUAUAAACUUGAGGCCAUCUCUCGGUUGUGUGAAGACAAGUAUAAGGACUUCAGGAAAUCAGCAAAGAAACGGUCGGUCAGUUCGGACAAUCUGACUCUAGUUAGAUGGUCUCCUGCUAUCAUCUCCUAACAGUGAAGACUGGGACGAUUCCUCCAAAAGUACUGUUUCUAUCAUCAACUUUGGGCAGGCGGGAGGGGAAUGUUAUCGUUCAUUUUUGGGUCCCCCCCCCCCCCCCCGGUUUGUUUUUUCCUCCCUUAUUUUUAGAACUGCCUUUGCAGUGCCUCCCCUGGUUGUAGCACACGAGAAUUAAACCCGGGACGUGGAGAGAACCGUCAGCAUAAUCGGAUAGGACUCUAUAGGAAGAUUACCUCGGUUGCUCGCUAAACGAGAGUCCUUUUUGCGAAGAAAAAAUGAACACGCUUGGAACAGGGAGAAGACCGGAGCGCGGUGCGGGAGAGCAGAAAGCGACAAGUGUGUGCCAUUUUUUUUUUAAAAAAAUACCUGCUUCAGAAACAAUGGCUUGAAAAUGAAAUCCACGAGAUAAACUUGCAGGAGAGCUUGGGGAGAAAGGGGGGAGGAAUUGGAAGAGCUUCACGUUCUCUCUGGUAUCUUCGAUCAGUUUUCUUUUUUCCCACUGCUGGGUUUUGCAUUCCUCUCUGCCGUUUGCCUGGGUUUGGUUUCCCUACUACUGCAAAGCAUCGAGUACGAAGGUGGUCUCUACAGUAGCACAAGCAUUGGUUGUUUCCUUCCCUUGACAUAGCACUUUUCUCUUUAUAAGCUGUUUUAUUAGCAUUUCUGCCCACUGUUGUUAUACAUAUUUUGUCUCUCGUAUGCCUUUUGGGGAAGGGGAGGGAUUUUUUGGAAAAGAUUUAACUUGAUUUAUAGUGCUGAACCAAAAGUAUACAAGAUCAGGUGAUCAUAAUUUCAUGAUUUUUGCUUUAAUUUAUAGCGGCCGGUGUCCGUGAUGCUUUUUUUGUUAACUGCAUCAUGAAGACCGACUGCAUUAUAGUAUAUGUGGCUGCAUGUGCCUUCCUACGUUCUUUUGGGAUAGUUUAUUUUUCCUUACUAUAAAGCUAUGAUUGUCAGAAGGAUUCAGACAAUGGUGAAAUUUGGGCUGAGGAGGUGACGUUGACUUUGGACGCGGUAGUCCUCUCUGCAAGAUUUUUCUUAGCGUGUUAGAAAUUCAGCAGACUGUUAAGUGAGAGAACGUGAGGUCUCCCUUCCGUGUGGCCCAAACAGUUGAUUUCCUUCACUUCCUGGUUCAAUGUUGCAAGCAAUAGCCUCGAGAUUUUUAUAUGUUUAUUGGUUUAAAUGGAAACCAAUCUGUUUGUAUAAAAUAGAAAAAAAAUGUAAAAAAAAGAGAGUUUUUUUUGUUCUAGUGAAAAACAGUCCAUGAAAUAAGAAAAUCUAUAUUAAUUUUACCAAGUGUUUGUCACAGGCUGGAUUUCAAAAAAAUUUAAAAAAAAAUGUUUUACAAAACUGCAUUUUACAGUGUAGGUGCUUGUAGAAAUUUAAACAAAAUGCAAACUGUGAAGAAAAUCGGAUGGUGGGUGGAUCGUGUUGUACCUUUUUGUCGCUGUUACUUGUUCCCACCAUUGCAUUCCUUGAUGGGAUGGAUAAGAGGAAUCCCCUUUUGGUAGCAAGCCGCACGAUUCCUGUAGGAAUUCUUGUGCUCCGUACAAGGAUGUAGGGAUUGUUUUGCACUCUUUCGAAAGACGCAGAUUCAUUGCCUGAAAAAGAAGCCAGCAGCACGUUUCACGGUCUUGGAAUUCUAUGAAUUUUCUCUCUAGUAGAAGAAAUGAUCAAAACUGUCCGGGCUCAGACUUGCUUUUUUCUUUUUUUUAAAUUUGCACUAUUUGAGAGAAUCGUACAGACCACAUUCCACUGGCAACAUUUCCUGCAUACGUCUCUCAACCCCAGCAGCUGUGCUGAUAUACAUGCCCCCCCUCCCUCCAUCGUGGGGUUUGCUCAGGAGAACUUCCCGGCUCCAUGCUCUUGAGCUGCUCGGUUGCUGUCAAUGAGAGCUUUUGCAGGACGUUUCCACAUUCCUUUGCAUGGUCUUAUUGAGCCUUAAAACCUCGUCUUUAUAUUGUUUACUUGACUCACGUUUCCAACAAAACCCUUCCUGUCCCCCCCCCCCCCCCCCCCCCAUUUAGGGCACAUCCCCGCAGCUCUAAAUUAUGGAGGGCUGCGGGAGCUUUCUGUGCCGUUGAUUCUUUCAGUCAGAAGUCAGGAACCAAAGAAGAGGGAAGCUCCGGGACAGAAACUUUCUUUUUGGUGGUGUGCUGCAAAGUGCUCGCUGCUAAAGAAGCCAGACCUUCUUUUAAUGCUGAACAGACGGUUUUCUCUUCAGCAGAGUAACUGCUGUAUUCGGCUCACAGUUGUCAUUGGUCAGCACAUGUUCCUUCUUGGGAUCCCACUCAAGGGAUCCCACAUUGGUCUGUAGAGCUAGCAGGGUCCACUGGGAACUGUCACCUGCAGUGGUUGCUGGGUUGUUUUGAUGAGAGAGAGGAAAGUACAUUUAUUUUCUCUGGGAUGUUUUCCCUUGGGUCCAGCACACAGUGCUCAAUCAAGAGUGCUGUAAGCUAUCAUUUUAGACGUACCGCAGAUGUGUUUAGGACCAGAGCAUUCAAGGCUAUUUCUCAGAUGACUGUACCCCUGAUUGUGCUGUUCGCCACCACUGUAAAGGGAUUGUGGCACUGACGAUAAUGGAGUAUGAACAGCCAAGCAGUUUUCUACCAGCUUUUUUAUUGGUAUUACACAACAUGAAGAGUUUGCCCUACGUACGUUCCCUGAUCUUUCAGAUAGUUUAGUUCUCAUUUGUUUUUGUUUUUAAAUUGUUGUUGUGCCAACAUAUCAAAACUCUGAUUUGUAUCAUGUCGGAGUUUGGAUUCUCUGUCCCUUUCCUUCUUUUUUCUUUUUUCCUAAGCAGAAUGUUAAAAAAGAAAAAAAAACCUGUACAAUGAGAGGGGAAAAGGAUAAUUUUUUUUAAAAAAAUAGAAUUGAAUUAUAUUUUCCCCAGAUAGAGAUGAUGAUUUUAAAGUGGGUUGUUUUGUCAACAGUUUGAAGAAUGCUAAUUGAGUUUGCAAAAAUAUCGUUGUGCUGUUUGGGAGGGAACGGCGGAGGAAAAAAGUUUGCAUUAUUGUAAAGUUCUCAAUGCAUCUGCUAUAAUUUUUGUGAAUUUUAUUAAACUACUUUAAAGAUUG
Molecule: RNA transcript, 4726 nt
Organism: Sphaerodactylus townsendi
Lineage: Eukaryota; Metazoa; Chordata; Lepidosauria; Squamata; Sphaerodactylidae
Gene: CCNY
Gene name: cyclin Y
Exons: 11
Source: RefSeq, a predicted model, not a curated record